GACCCACUAGCUCAUCCGGUAGAGCACAGCCCUUUUAAGGCUGGUGUGCCCCGUUCGAGUCGGGGGUGGGUCACCA
RNAcentral lists this transfer RNA (76 nucleotides) under Candidatus Omnitrophota bacterium. Its description in RNAcentral is "tRNA-Lys". It matches the Rfam family "tRNA". From Rfam's summary of the family: Transfer RNA (tRNA) molecules are approximately 80 nucleotides in length. Their secondary structure includes four short double-helical elements and three loops (D, anti-codon, and T loops). Lineage: Bacteria; Pseudomonadati; Candidatus Omnitrophota. RNAcentral also lists the same sequence under 1 other name. The record is from RNAcentral.